This 252-nucleotide ribosomal RNA is filed under the name uncultured bacterium. Its description in RNAcentral is "partial 16S ribosomal RNA". It matches the Rfam family "Bacterial small subunit ribosomal RNA", at positions 524 to 776 of the family's 1533-position model. The record is from RNAcentral.
UACGGAGGAUGCGAGCGUUAUCCGGAUUUAUUGGGUUUAAAGGGUGCGUAGGCGGAUUUUUAAGUCAGCGGUAAAAUGUCCGGGCUCAACCCGGGCCGGCCGUUGAAACUGGGGAUCUUGAGUGGGCGAGAAGUAUGCGGAAUGCGUGGUGUAGCGGUGAAAUGCAUAGAUAUCACGCAGAACUCCGAUUGCGAAGGCAGCAUACCGGCGCCCGACUGACGCUGAGGCUCGAAAGCGUGGGGAGCAAACAGG